This is a non-coding RNA of Cricetulus griseus (Chinese hamster), 435 nucleotides long. The record is from the annotation of a RefSeq genome assembly. NCBI's taxonomy places the organism in Eukaryota, Metazoa, Chordata, Mammalia, Rodentia, Cricetidae.
AUGAAGAGUACGCUGUGCUCUCUGCUGGGGCUGCUGUGCUCCCAGUUUUUCUGGGUGAAAGGGCAACAAGUGAAGCAGAGUCCUGUGUCCUUGGUUCUGCAGGAGGGAGAGAGUGCAGAGCUGCAGUGCAACUUUUCCACCACUGCAACCCAAAUGCAGUGGUUUCACCAAAGUCGUGGUGGACACCUCAUCAGCCUCUUUUCCAGUCCUUCUGGAACAAAGCAGAAUGGAAGACUGACAUCCACCACAGUCACUCAGGAACGUCGCAGCUCCUUGUACAUUUCCUCCUCUCAGACCACAGACUCAGGCACUUAUUUCUGUGCUAUGAAUGCACAGUGCUCCCCACACACCUGCAACCAGUACACAAACCUUCAGCUGUAUGGGUGUGGCCUUUCCAAGUCACAGAACAUCAGGGAGCCCCAUACUAGCUUGUAG